This is a long non-coding RNA of Tachysurus fulvidraco (yellow catfish), 539 nucleotides long. RefSeq lists it as uncharacterized. The record is from RefSeq and is a predicted model, not a curated record. The transcript is spliced from 2 exons. NCBI's taxonomy places the organism in Eukaryota, Metazoa, Chordata, Actinopteri, Siluriformes, Bagridae.
ACGAUGACGGAGCGAUUCUUACCCAAACAAUACAGCGCUAGCUAACGGGUCUCGUGGCUGUGUUUCGUAUUGACAAUUAGUGCACUAGGUAGGUCACUAGAACGCUGUUUGUGCACCACAAAUCAAGUGCGCUUAAAUAGGGAGGAUGGAGCGGUUUGAGCUUCGGCCCUAGGCGGCUAAUUCCUUGUUAUUUUUACACUACAUCAUAUAAACGACAUGAAAUGUAACACAGUUGUAACUUAACACCGCUAAUACACCACAUAUCUGGUAUUAUUCUGUAUUUUUAUAUUUAGCUUUGUUUAUUAUUAUUAUUUCCUCUGUUCAUCUAUUUAAAACCACGGUUGUCGCUACAUAAUGUCGUGUAUUAUAGAGUUACAAAGGGGCGGAAAGUUUCGGUAAACUUACUGAAACUUUCAACGGGAACUUAAUCUGGUACUUAAUCUUAAUUUAUGGGAAUUAUUUGUAACUAUAGGGAAAUGUAUAUAAACUAUAUGAUAUAGAAACAUAAAUAAACAUGUUGUUUGGUCAUAAGCAGACAU